RNAcentral lists this ribosomal RNA (129 nucleotides) under Paenibacillus artemisiicola. Its description in RNAcentral is "partial 23S ribosomal RNA". It matches the Rfam family "Bacterial large subunit ribosomal RNA", at positions 2789 to 2925 of the family's 2925-position model. The record is from RNAcentral. Lineage: Bacteria; Bacillati; Bacillota; Bacilli; Caryophanales; Paenibacillaceae.
GAAGCCCCCCUCAAGAUGAGAUUUCCCAGUAUGUAAGACCCCUUGAAGACGACGAGGUAGAUAGGUUCGAGGUGGAAGCGCAGCAAUGCGUGGAGCUGACGAAUACUAAUCGGUCGAGGGCUUAUCCUA